CUUAGUACGAGAGGACCGGGAUGGACGCACCGCUGGUGUACCAGUUGUUCUGCCAAGGGCAUCGCUGGGUAGCUAUGUGCGGACGGGAUAAGUGCUGAAAGCAUCUAAGCAUGAAGCCCCCCUCAAGAUGAGAUUUCCCAUUCCGCAAGGAAGUAAGAUCCCUGAAAGAUGAUCAGGUUGAUAGGUCUGAGGUGGAAGCGUGGUGACACGUGGAGCUGACAGAUACUAAUAGAUCGAGGACUUAACCUA
RNAcentral lists this ribosomal RNA (249 nucleotides) under Bacillus altitudinis. RNAcentral describes it as "partial 23S ribosomal RNA". It matches the Rfam family "Bacterial large subunit ribosomal RNA", at positions 2677 to 2925 of the family's 2925-position model. The record is from RNAcentral. Lineage: Bacteria; Bacillati; Bacillota; Bacilli; Caryophanales; Bacillaceae.